This 442-nucleotide ribosomal RNA is filed under the name uncultured bacterium. RNAcentral describes it as "partial 16S ribosomal RNA". It matches the Rfam family "Bacterial small subunit ribosomal RNA", at positions 338 to 795 of the family's 1533-position model. The record is from RNAcentral.
CCUACGGGAGGCAGCAGUGGGGAAUAUUGGGCAAUGGGCGCAAGCCUGACCCAGCGACGCCGCGUGAGUGAAGACGGUCUUCGGAUUGUAAACCUCUUUCAGCAGGGAAGACAUACUGACGGUACCUGCAGAAGAAGCCACGGCUAACUACAUGCCAGCAGCCGCGGUAAUACGUAGGGGGCAAGCGUUAUCCGGAAUUACUGGGUGUAAAGGGUGUGUAGGCGGGUUUGCAAGUCAGAUGUGAAAAUUAUGGGCUCAACCCAUAAACUGCGUGUGAAACUAAAGAGCUUGAGAGUGGGAGAGGUAAACGGAAUUCCUGGUGUAGCGGUGAAAUGCGUAGAUAUUGGGAGGAACACCAGUGGCGAAGGCGGUUUACUGGACCACAACUGACGCUGAGGCACGAAAGCGUGGGGAGCAAACAGGAUUAGAUACCCGAGUAGUC